This is a long non-coding RNA of Vicia villosa (hairy vetch), 2590 nucleotides long. RefSeq lists it as uncharacterized. The record is from RefSeq and is a predicted model, not a curated record. The transcript has 3 exons. NCBI's taxonomy places the organism in Eukaryota, Viridiplantae, Streptophyta, Magnoliopsida, Fabales, Fabaceae.
GCUUUACACUAAGGGAUUUUAUAUUUUUUCAUUUUUCAUUUUCUUUUCAUUCUAACUCAAAAAUCUCACUCUUAUCUCCAUACUCUCUCGUCUUCUUCGUAUCAUUUUCUUCUCCGCCGCUAUCAACAACAAUCACCCUAAAUCAUGCUCACACUCAGAAUCGACCAAGACCCACAUGCAAUCUCACACCGUUUUUGUUGGUCUUUCAUCGUUUCUAACUACACAGCGAGAAGUGGUCUUUCAUCAGUUUCAAUUUCCAAUUUCCUUUUGAUUACCUUAUUGCAAUCUGAGAUCUUGCGAUUUCGUUUUUUUUAUUCUCUCAACAUUUUCCUUCACCUAUGGUUACUAUCAUUCAAGCGAAGUUGGAUUUGACCCAGCGACUAUUGUUGUUAGAGUUCAAUUUUAUCGUAAAUUCUGGUUUGCGUCAUCUUCCCCAAUUUCUAGGGUUCUUGAUUUUUUAUAUUGUUCAGGGUUCUGCAGAUUCGGUGAAUAAAUCAAAAUAGAAGAUUCAAUCGCGGCUGAUGAUUCCGUCGACGAGCUCGAUAGCUACAUGUUCCAAACGAUUUGAAUCUUUUCCAUCUUGAUCCUCUUGCUCUUUAUUGGGUCUUUUGUCAUGAUCGCAUUUUCUUCUUAUUUGCUUUGGUAAUUUUUUAGAUUGAUUUAGUUUAUUAUUUAGGGAUUUUGAUUGUUUGAGUUAAAAAAAUAGAUAUGUGGUCCAUGCCUUGUAUGGUCUAAGAUUUGUUAGAAUAAUAUUAGUGUUGUAUACACAGUUUCUGAUUCUUACUCUCUUCUUUACUUCAUGGGGAUUACCACUGCAUCCUCUGAGAUUGAAACUGAUAGUAAUUUUGAAGUUCAUGUGUUCUCUUCAUCAUCUGAGGUGAGAUUUCUAAGCCUCACUUUUUUUACAAUCUUUGAUUACCUAACACAAUCUAUAAGUUGAAGUUUUACACUUUUCAUUAGCUUUGAAUUCUUCAGUUACUAGAAAAGCUUCAUCAAACAUGGAGUUUAGUGGAGAAACAACCCUAUCCGGCUAUGUAUUCUAGUGUCUAUGGAGGUAUCAUACUUGAUCCAGCAAUGAUGGUCAUCCCUAUAGAUGAUCACAUGGUACAUGGAGGCCAUGGUGUCUUUGAUACUGCUAUUAUUUUACAAGGGUGUUACUAUUUAUUUUUUUUGUUAUUCAUGUAUUGAACAUAAUCGAUCGGAUAGCACCCGAGUUCGACUUCGGUUUUGAACAUUUUUUGUCAGACUUUACUGACUUCUUUGAUCUCGGUGUUUAUAUUGUUUGUUUUCUCAAGAUAUCUCUAUGAGCUGGAUGUUCACCUCGAUCGUUUCUUGAGAUCGGCUUCCAAAGGAACAUUAAGAUAAUGGCUAAGUGCAGGUCCUGGUGAUUUCUUACUGUCAUCAUCAGGAUGUCCGAAAUCUGCAUUAUAUGCAGUAGUCAUUGGCCAUGAUUAUUCUCAGUGCAAAGAAGGUGUCAAAGUGAUUACUUCCAAUGUACCAAUGAAGGCACCGUCAUUUGCGACAAUGAAAGACGUGAACUAUCUUCCUAAUGUACUUUCAGUAUUGGAAGCUGAAGAAAAAGGAGCAUUUAGUUCUAUAUGGUGCUAAUUUUAAGGGUUUGAAGGAUAAAAAGCUUAGGAGUCAAUUGGUUGCUGAAGAGAAAUUAUAUGGAGAAUCUGUAAAAGCUGUUGGCAAGGCCGAGAAAGUUAAUUAUUUUUAAUUUGGUUUUCCUGUAUGCGUAAUUUAACUCGCCUUUAUUUUCAUUUUCUUUUAUGCAUCAUGAAGAGUGAAUUAUUUUAAAACGUUUUUUGUUGGAUGUUGCUGAUAAAGGAUAAUAAAAUGUGUGAAAUGUUUGAUGUGGUAUACUUCAUUGCAGAUUUCAGUUUGUGUUUCAUUACCUUCAUUACAGAGCAUGUGUGUUAUGUAGUGUUUUGGUAGUCCUCAAUCAUGGUAAGUUCGCAAGUGUGUGGAGGCCGACGUAGAUUUUAGCAAUAUAGACAUGCAUGUGUAUCCUCUAUGUUUCAUUCUUUCUUCUUUACAAGGAAGCUCUUCAAAAGAAUCUUAAACUUACCUGUCAAAAUUCAAACUUAGGCUGAGGCUUCCAACAAAAACUGUGAAAGGAUGAAGCACCCAAAUAGAUUCUAGAGAAUGGUAACAUGUUUUACACUUCAUGUAUGUUUUGAAAUUCGAAAUUCCCAAAAGCCAUAAUCUAGUACUCUCACCAUUUCCACUCAGCAACUUUUUAACCUCCAUAACCAUAUGCUCAACAGAACAAUAGUAGCUCCUUUUUUGCUCACAGUAACUUGACCAAAACUCAAACAACCAUUUCAAAUCACCUUCGGCAGUCAAAACACUCUCUCCUACAAUGACAGUGUUUCUUCUCCUCUUCACUAGAUCAUUCAACACACUAGUUACAUCAUCAUUGUUAACAUAUUCUCGCAGGAUCUACGUUUUGCGAUUUUCGCUUUUUUAGAUUUUAUUUUCAUGUUUAUACUUUUGAUUUUUACGUUUUUUUUGUUAUCUUGAUGAUAUUGAAGUUGUGAUUUGUUUGAUCUGUUUGCAGAUUGUGUUUUUUCUAGUUUGUUAGGGU